This is a non-coding RNA of Aegilops tauschii subsp. strangulata, 2570 nucleotides long. NCBI's taxonomy places the organism in Eukaryota, Viridiplantae, Streptophyta, Magnoliopsida, Poales, Poaceae. The record is from RefSeq and is a predicted model, not a curated record.
CUGUGUCCCGUACGUGUCAUCUACAUAGAGUAGAACUAUCCCCUUUUCUCUCUAAAAAGAAAGAACCAUCCCCUGCUCUCGUACGAUCCCCACCAGGUUCCUGAGUCCUCAUCCUCGUUUGCCAUUUCUUCCGAUUUGCCGCCGGCAAAGGAAGAUGUCACCAUUGGCCAUCAGGAAAUUAAUACCCAGGUUAUCCCAGAUCUACACGCCGUUUCUUUUCUCUGAGUUUUGCUUCCAUAGGGUGGUGGCGCAUGUGGCUGGGUGAGUGCACGGAUCUCGGCAACCUCGUCGAGUCUGGAGAAAUGGCCACAGAGAUUGCCAAGGAGAAUUUGGGUUGUGCUGCUUAUACUUGCCAUCGCCGGGUGCUUUGGAUGUUGGUGGCGCGGAGGUAGCUAGGGAGCUCACGGAGCAGGGAUGUGAAGCAGCUUCUGCGGGCAGCUUCUUACUUGUUGUCCUGUUCAUUGUUGGUGUUGUCUGGAGUCCUACCAAAUGUAAGUGUUACUGCAAUCAUAUAAGUUUUGGUGAAGGGGAAUGAUCUAGAAAUCAAAAUAAGUUGAUCUCAACCUAGCAAGCGAUUCUUCCAUCUAAUUAGUGAUGCACAGUAAAAAAGGAGGUUUACAUGCACUUUUACUCAGCCAAAUAGCAAAAGCAUCAGCUUGAUGUGAGACAUGCAUGUGCCUAGUUGCAGUUUAAGUUCUAAAGUUCAGUAAUUUUCGUGGGGCUAGUCUUCUUUCUGGAUUCUUGCAUCUUAAUUACCACACAGAGGCAAUGGUAUAUGGUGAACACAUGGAUGCAAGGCAUCUGAAGUAUACACACCCAUUGUUUUGAAUCUUGCUUCUUGAAUCUUGUUGUCUAAUGGUAGAGUUUUGAGGCCUGAAUUAAGGUUCCUGCCACUUUUAUAAAUGUUGCAGGGCAGUACAUUUAUGGUUUCUGUACACCUUUUUUCUUUCUGGAUUCGGCAACCUUUUGUGCCCAUAGGAACCAAUAUUGCUGUAUAAUUGUAUAUUAUGUCUUCCCGUUCAUCCAUGGCUCUCCACUAUAAAGUGUUCUAUUCUUUUAUUUGUUGUUACCAUGUCCUAGCAAGAAGGCCUUAAUUUGGUUCAUAUAUGUUAAUUGACAUGCAAUGGUUUGAUUUUUAUAUGUGUUGGUGGUGCAGAUGAUAUUGAAGAUCUAUUAAUGGUUUUAUUAAACUAAAAAGGUUGUAUGAGGUAUAGGUGUUUAUUACCUAGGACAAUAGCUGUCAAGAUUUUGUGUCUUCCAAAAAUUACAAUAUGACGUGCUUUUGAUAGUGUUAACAUUUGCACUAUUAUUAUCUAAUAAGUUUCCUUCUUAUCCUGGUCAAUGUCAAGUACUCUUCCUAAAUCUUUGUGUGUACAUUAGUCUGCCUUACUAUUUAAUUAAUAAGCAACUUAUCCAUUAAUCUAUGGAUAGUCUCUUUGUUUUCCUAGGCUGUAAUUAUCCAUCAUUAUUCUGUGACUGUAAAAUGAAAUGCAUUUAAAAAUAAUACAUGCGUAAAAAUCUAAAAGUGCGUAUGGUGGGAAAAUCAAUCUCCCUUUUAGCUUGCAUGUCUUGCUUCUUCGUUUCUUGUUCCAACAUGGUGUCCACUUUGUCAUCUAUCAACUGCUUGGCAUACUGUAAGAUAAAUCAGUGAGGAAAAACAGAAAAGAUAAUCGUUAUUUAUUUUAAUGAAUUAAAUGCGCCUUUACCUCCUUGGCUUUUUUGUUCAGGUACAACAUCUCAAGCCAGGAAUAAAUGUUUCGUUAGAUGACAGACAUCGAGCAUCUGAGUCUUCAUCGUUAAGCAAUGCCACAAUGGAAGAAGUAUAAUUAAAAUUUAAGACAUUGGUAUACACCAUGCACUUACUAUGGUAUUAGAGAUUCAAUAUCACAGGCGUUUUUACUUGAAAAGGAUUAAAACACACUGCUUCAAAAGGAUAGAAAAAGUAGUUGUCGAUUGAUAAUGUGCACAUGAAGAUUGUAGCUGACAAAAGUGAGUUCAUAUAAUAAUAAUUACUAACCAUGUUGAUUCAGAGGUAGAAAUCGAGUUGCAUGCCACUUCAUAAUUUGGGUUGGCUUCGAUAUUUGCAGAGCGCCAGGUCCAAACAUCUUGCGCCAGUCUGUUGGCUUCAACUGUCCUGGUGGUGGCAUCGUGAGUCACGGCAUCGUAGAGUUGGUUGGCUUCAAUUUUCCUGGUCGUGUCGCUGAGUCGUGAGUUGCUUGGUGUCAUAGAUUUCCAGACUGAAGAUGGGCGUGUUUGGCUGCUGGGUGUGGUCGGCCGUGUAUUUUUAUGGAUGAGUUCUGGCCGUGUCCUUAUGGAGUCCUUGUAUGUUUAUAUUUGAGGCAAAUCAGAGAGCUUUAUUCAAACAAAAGCAUUCCCCGGACAAUCAGCUAAAAGACUGGUCACAAGGAAGCUAGGGGUUUCCUCCAGCCAGCAAUCCGUCACAUUCAAGGUGCAUGCAUGUUUUGCACAAAGAUGCGCUGGUAGAUUUGCUGACCGGUUUACAUGCUGAACAUCAAAUAAAAAAAUUAUCGCUAAGCUCUCCUAUUUCUAACAAGAUAGGGGCCACAAUU